GGGAUAGAGCAGUGCUUUAAACCAUUUAUCUCUUCUCAUGGAACUUUCCCUCUACCUGGAGGAGGAAGAAAAAUAACAAUGAAAAUCUUAAUAAAUAAAUGAAACAGCAGAUAUUAUAAAGGAAAGCAAGAACUACAAGUCCAGAGACGAGGCUUUUCUAUGGUGUGAAAUUUCUGUCCUGUGUCUCCCUGUCCAAAUUUGUAUGCUGAAAUCCUCACCCUACACCCCCCCACCAGUAAGAGAGAAAGUCAUCUUCCAAGUGUGGCCUCAAAGUUCUUCCCUUCAGUGUAACUGGAGUGGCCUACCACCUAGGAACAGAGACUGUCAUCGGUUAAACAUCUUGCUCCGAUUGACUUAGAUUAGUCAGGAUGUAUCCCUGCAUCGAGAUGGAUCAUUGUCUUCUGAUUCAUGUAGAGGACAGCCAGUGGGAACAAUUAAGAAUUGCAUGACAAUCAGCUGCUGGUAAGAAACUCGGGGAUCCUCGCAAGGCCUGCUCGGAUUCUUCUGUGUGACCUUGUGUCUUCAGAGACAGAUGAAGACCUUUUGAAUGAGGGUGUUAGGACCUGCUUCAGAAGAGAAGGGUGAAAGUGAGAGGACCUUCCUGCUUCUGGGGUCUUUUCAAAGGCUGUCUUAUUUUGAAUUAGCACAUCUUGAACGCCAUCGGGACUAUGGCCUCGAUCCCUCUGACAGGUAUUUGCAGUCUUUCAGCAGGGGUCCUUGGGAUCCUGAGUCCCCACCUUCCAUCCAGUAGCCAGGGUGCCAAAUCUUAGAAGGUGAAUACUUCAUCUGGUAUUUUCACCACUGUGCUGCUAGCACCUGAUCCAGUGUUCGUACUUGUUAGAAAUUCUGUGCAAAUUUGAUGAGUGAACAAAGUUUUGAGGGU
Non-coding RNA from Ictidomys tridecemlineatus (thirteen-lined ground squirrel), 883 nucleotides. The record is from RefSeq and is a predicted model, not a curated record. NCBI's taxonomy places the organism in Eukaryota, Metazoa, Chordata, Mammalia, Rodentia, Sciuridae.